Molecule: unclassified non-coding RNA, 373 nt
Filed under: uncultured Agaricomycetes
Lineage: Eukaryota; Fungi; Basidiomycota; Agaricomycetes
Description: sequence contains ITS2
Rfam family: 5.8S ribosomal RNA (bases 1-155)
Source: RNAcentral
AACUUUUAGCAAUGGAUCUCUUGGCUUUUGCAUCGAUGAAGAACGCCGCGAAUGUGCGAAACGUAAUGUGAAUUGCAGAAUUCAGUGAAUCAUCGAAUCUUUGAACGCAUCUUGCGCUCCUUGGUAUUCCGAGGAGCAUGCCUGUUUGAGUGUCAUGAACUCUCUCAAUGAAUUCUUUCAUUGGACUUGGAUGCUGCUGUUGUGGCUCAUCUGAAAUAGAUUAGCUGCUCAACCUUGGGUUUAGUGUGAUAAUGACUUUGAUCACUUGCGCUCAAGGCUUGGCUGCUUAUAAUGGUCCGUUGGACACUUAUCGUUUGACCUCAAAUCAGGUAGGACUACCCGCUGAACUUAAGCAUAUCAAUAAGCGGAGGCU